RNAcentral lists this ribosomal RNA (422 nucleotides) under uncultured prokaryote. RNAcentral's name for it is "bacterial SSU rRNA". It matches the Rfam family "Bacterial small subunit ribosomal RNA", at positions 355 to 774 of the family's 1533-position model. The record is from RNAcentral.
UAAGGAAUAUUAGGCAAUGGUCGAAAGACUGACCCAGCCAUGCCGCGUGCAGGAUGAAGGCCCUAUGGGUUGUAAACUGCUUUUAGCCGGGAAUAAACACCCGUUUUAUAACGGGACCGAAGGUACCGGCUGAAUAAGCAUCGGCUAACUCCGUGCCAGCAGCCGCGGUAAUACGGAGGAUGCAAGCGUUAUCCGGAUUCACUGGGUUUAAAGGGUGCGCAGGCGGACAUUUAAGUCAGGGGUGAAAUCCUACAGCUUAACUGUAGAACUGCCCUUGAUACUGAAUGCCUAGAGUAAAGCUGAAGUGGGCGGAAUGUGUUGUGUAGCGGUGAAAUGCUUAGAUAUAACACAGAACACCAAUCGCGAAGGCAGCUCACUAAACUUUAACUGACGCUCAUGCACGAAAGCGUGGGGAGCAAACA